This 1500-nucleotide long non-coding RNA is filed under the name Cyanistes caeruleus (blue tit). Its description in RNAcentral is "lncRNA (ENSCCEG00000012092.1)". Lineage: Eukaryota; Metazoa; Chordata; Aves; Passeriformes; Paridae. The record is from RNAcentral.
GCUGGCAAACUCGAGGUGGGGUCAUCCCUUGGGUGGAGAAUGGGAAAAAACAGGUUUGCUGUCUUCCUUGGUCUGGUUAUUUGAAGCAAUAACCAAGAAGUGGAGAGAAGAAGAAAGGAUGGGAGGAAAUCUUGGGAUCUGCCAAAGUUAAGGAAAUUAAUAUUAGAUAAACUCUUCCAUGCAGAGGUGCUUUUCCCUUGUGAUGUUGCCGGCACAGUGGGAAGCUCAGUACAGAAUUUCCUGACACAGACUGAGCUAAAAGGAGCCAUUGCUAAAAAUAUACCAAAAAGGAGGCUCAUGGGGACCUUGAGGGGGAUUAUUUCUUCUCCCUGAACUUCACAGCAAUACCCCUGUUUUUUUGAGGGUCCUUUUGUGGCAGCCUGCCAAGCAAACCAGUCACACUGAAGUCCAAGGAUGUAUUUGAAACCCUUGCAAAGAUACCACAUUAAAAAUUAACACACCCCAAAACAAACAGAGGGAGAUUCUCCAGAAGUUCACCCCUUGAAUGAAAUUUGUGUUAUCUUUGCAGCACAGCUUAGCCUUUCCUAAUUUCCAGCUGCUUGGUAAAGCUUCAGCCUUGGAUUUUUUUUUUUUUCUUCAUUCUAACUUUCAAAUGAAAACCCACCAAAUUAUUUGGUAUGGGGGGCAAGGUAAAGCACAGACUGGGAUGGGGGGAGGAAAGACUCCAGACCCAGCAUCUCCCAGGAAAAUUUUGUCACCUGUUUCACUGUUGUGCUCAGCAGCAGCAAAGCUCCUUGUCAAACCAUACCCCACCAGCUCUCCAGCCACACUUGCAGCAGCACCAAAUCCAUCUCCAGAGGAGUGUAUUGCAGAGCUGUCCCGCCUUUGCUGACACAGGCUUCCAGACACGCACAUGUGGUGGGAUGCACAGCAAAAGGCUGGAAUCCUGGAAUUACAGCCCAGCACCUUUUCUGAGUAUGACAUUGGGUCCCAGGUAUCCAUUUGGUGCAUUUGGCACAACGAUUUUACAUCUGAAAAUAAUGACAGAGAUAUUAAAAAAUUAAGGAAAUUCACUGUUUCACAAUCUUUUCUCACGACUUUGAAUUCUUCCUGUUAAUUUCUCCAUCUUUUGACAGUGCCUUUUCAAACCAUGAUCAAUGGCCCCAUCUGCUUGGCAAUGAGAAGUGGAGUCUCAGUCUUUGAUGAGGACUUGCAGGGCUCCAAGACCUUCGAUGGUCACUGGUGGGAGAUCACAUUCAGGCAACCCCAGGGAUCCUCCUGGUCUGGCAGCCUAUGGAUAAAAUCUGUGUGAGUGACUUAAUAUCCUCAAAAAAUUGCCAUGGUGAGUAAUCCCCUGAGAUUUGGUGUUGCCCUCAUAAACACAGGCUGUCCUUUUUUAUAUUUAAACAUCAAAGGAUGCCAUUUGCUUUUAAAGUGAUGUUUGCUGUUAAUAUUCUGCUCCUACAGGCCAGUUGGAUCAUGGGGAGGACACAGUCAUCUCAAAAUAAAGGUCUGCUCUGCUGACUGAUAGCCUUGAAA